RNAcentral lists this transfer RNA (72 nucleotides) under Camelus bactrianus (Bactrian camel). It matches the Rfam family "tRNA". Rfam says of the family: Transfer RNA (tRNA) molecules are approximately 80 nucleotides in length. Their secondary structure includes four short double-helical elements and three loops (D, anti-codon, and T loops). Further hydrogen bonds mediate the characteristic L-shaped molecular structure. tRNAs have two regions of fundamental functional importance: the anti-codon, which is responsible for specific mRNA codon recognition, and the 3' end, to which the tRNAs corresponding amino acid is attached (by aminoacyl-tRNA synthetases). tRNAs cope with the degeneracy of the genetic code in two manners: having more than one tRNA (with a specific anti-codon) for a particular amino acid; and 'wobble' base-pairing, i.e. permitting non-standard base-pairing at the 3rd anti-codon position. RNAcentral also lists the same sequence under 3 other names. The record is from Rfam by way of RNAcentral. Lineage: Eukaryota; Metazoa; Chordata; Mammalia; Artiodactyla; Camelidae.
GAGGGUAUAGCUCAGUGGUAGAGUGUGUGCUUAGCAUGCACGAGGUCCUGGGUUCAAUCCCCAGCACCUCCA